This 403-nucleotide ribosomal RNA is filed under the name uncultured bacterium. RNAcentral describes it as "partial 16S ribosomal RNA". It matches the Rfam family "Bacterial small subunit ribosomal RNA", at positions 30 to 526 of the family's 1533-position model. The record is from RNAcentral.
AUUGAACGCUGGCGGCAGGCCUAACACAUGCAAGUCGAGCGAGCGGCGCACGGGUGAGUAAUGUAUGGGGACUGCCCUAUAGAGGGGGUUAACUACUGGAAACGGUGGCUAAUACCGCAUACCAUCAGAUAACCCAUAUGGGAUUGGAUUGUAGGUGAGGUAACGGCUCACCUAGGCGACGAUUCCUAGCUGGUCUGAGAGGGUGGUCAGCCAAACUGGGGCUGAGACACGGCCCAGACUCCUACGGAGGCAGCAGUUGGGAAUAUUGCGCAAUGGGGGCAAGCCUGGCGGCGCCGUGCCGCGUGAAGGAAGAAGGCCUGCGGGUUGAAAAGUUCUUUCGGUAGCGAGGCGUUACCUGCAGCAGAAGCACCGGCUAACUCCGUGCCAGCAGCCGCGGUAAUUC